GACGAACGCUGGCGGCGUGCUUAACACAUGCAAGUGGUGCGACGAACCAGGCUUCGGCCUGGGGCGAAGCCGCGAACGGGUGAGUAACACGUGGGCAAUCUGCCCCUUUGAUCGGGACAACCCGGGGAAACCCGGGCUAAUACCGAAUGAGGUGGCGACUCAUGAGAGUCGUCACGACAGGAAGCUUCGGCCUCCGCGAAGGGAUGAGCCCGCGGCCCAUAGCUUGUUGGUGGGGUAAUGGCCUACCAAGGCAACGAUGGGUAGCUGGUCUGAGAGGACGAUCAGCCACACUGGGACUGAGACACGGCCCAGACUCCUACGGGAGGCUGCAGUGGGGAAUCUUGCGCAAUGAGCGACAGCUUGACGCAGCAACGCCGCGUGAGGGAAGAAGGCUUUCGGGUCGUAAACCUCUUUCAGUUAGGACGAAGCUUUAUUGGUUAAUAACCAAUUGGAGUGACGGUACCUUGCGAGAAAGCCACGGCUAACUACGUGCCAGCAGCCGCAGUAA
RNAcentral lists this ribosomal RNA (508 nucleotides) under uncultured bacterium. RNAcentral's name for it is "partial 16S ribosomal RNA". It matches the Rfam family "Bacterial small subunit ribosomal RNA", at positions 28 to 523 of the family's 1533-position model. The record is from RNAcentral.